RNAcentral lists this ribosomal RNA (274 nucleotides) under uncultured bacterium. RNAcentral describes it as "partial 16S ribosomal RNA". It matches the Rfam family "Bacterial small subunit ribosomal RNA", at positions 523 to 796 of the family's 1533-position model. The record is from RNAcentral.
AGACGAACCGGACAAACGUUAUUCGGAAUCACUGGGCUUAAAGGGUACGUAGGCGGCGCGGCAAGUUGGGUGUGAAAUCCCUCGGCUCAACCGAGGAAUGGCGCCCAAAACUGCCGUGCUAGAGGGAGACAGAGGUGAGUGGAACUUAGGGUGGAGCGGUGAAAUGCGUUGAUAUCCUAAGGAACACCGGUGGCGAAAGCGACUCACUGGGUCUCUUCUGACGCUGAGGUACGAAAGCUAGGGGAGCGAACGGGAUUAGAAACCCCAGUAGUCC